AGUGAACGCUGGCGGUAGGCCUAACACAUGCAAGUCGAACGGCAGCACAGUAAGAGCUUGCUCUUACGGGUGGCGAGUGGCGGACGGGUGAGGAAUACAUCGGAAUCUACUUUUUCGUGGGGGAUAACGUAGGGAAACUUACGCUAAUACCGCAUACGACCUACGGGUGAAAGCAGGGGAUCUUCGGACCUUGCGCGAUUGAAUGAGCCGAUGUCGGAUUAGCUAGUUGGCGGGGUAAAGGCCCACCAAGGCGACGAUCCGUAGCUGGUCUGGGAGGAUGAUCAGCCACACUGGAACUGAGACACGGUCCAGACUCCUACGGGAGGCAGCAGUGGGGAAUAUUGGACAAUGGGCGCAAGCCUGAUCCAGCCAUACCGCGUGGGUGAAGAAGGCCUUCGGGUUGUAAAGCCCUUUUGUUGGGAAAGAAAAGCAGCAGGUUAAUACCCCGCUGUUCUGGCGGUACCCAAAGAAUAAGCACCGGCUAACUUCGUG
This 492-nucleotide ribosomal RNA is filed under the name uncultured bacterium. RNAcentral describes it as "partial 16S ribosomal RNA". It matches the Rfam family "Bacterial small subunit ribosomal RNA", at positions 29 to 507 of the family's 1533-position model. The record is from RNAcentral.